Molecule: transfer RNA, 85 nt
Filed under: Felis catus (domestic cat)
Lineage: Eukaryota; Metazoa; Chordata; Mammalia; Carnivora; Felidae
Also listed under: 4 other names
Rfam family: tRNA
About the family: Transfer RNA (tRNA) molecules are approximately 80 nucleotides in length.
Source: Rfam by way of RNAcentral
GCCUGGGUGGCUCAGUCGGUUAAGCAUCUGACUUCGGCUCAGGUCACAAUCUCGAGGUUUGUGGAUUCAAGCCCCACAUUGGGCU